ACAGACUAGAUAUGACUUUAAUAGUCAAUGAGCCCAAAGGCCCAUUUUCUUCAAUCGACAAAUCAUUUGUUCUCAUACAUGAUCUAGCCAAAAGAACAAUCUGUAUACUUCAGGUUAUUUGGUUCUGGAUCUCUCAGACCUAAUGGUAUUCACUAUUUCUCAAAUAAGUUUACAAAUGUAUCAUCAUGCAAAUGAUAAAGAACUAAAUCCAAAAUAAUAAUCACC
RNAcentral lists this long non-coding RNA (225 nucleotides) under Elaeis guineensis (African oil palm). RNAcentral describes it as "long non-coding RNA (EGUI_LNC038802)". The record is from RNAcentral. Lineage: Eukaryota; Viridiplantae; Streptophyta; Magnoliopsida; Arecales; Arecaceae.